RNAcentral lists this long non-coding RNA (405 nucleotides) under Ananas comosus (pineapple). Its description in RNAcentral is "long non-coding RNA (ACOM_LNC022031)". Lineage: Eukaryota; Viridiplantae; Streptophyta; Magnoliopsida; Poales; Bromeliaceae. The record is from RNAcentral.
ACUUAAAUACCAUUUGAAAAUAAUCAAUUAACUCUUAAUUUACAAACUUAAACUUCUAGAAUAUAAUGUUUAAUAUAUUAUAUUCAACAUUUGCCAAUAUGAUAGAAAUUAAGAGUCAAUUCGGUCAUACCAUUGUUGGCGCUAGCCAUUAACCUCUAAAACUCGAGCUGUUAGAAAGAUACAAUUAAUUUACUUAACGUAUACAGAUAAAGUGCUCGCAGAUCUCGAUUGUGAUUUGGCCUGAUCAGUCUCACGCCACUUCGAACAUGACUUGACCGAACCUGACCUUCCACUAUUUUAGAUUCGGUACAACUUGACUUUCCGUCACCUCACAUGAGAAGAUGCCAACCCCUUUAAGCUAGCUAACAUAUCCAAGCACUCCAAAGACUUCAAUACUUCACCUAC